AGAUAGAUGAGGGCUUUCUCUGCCAUUGCAGGCUGAGACUUCUCGGGGCUGCUGGAUGGAGGCGCGGGCUGGCAGGAGCGGGAGCCCAGAAGCCAAAGCGGUGGCCUUGAACUCCAGGCCAAGAUGCGCAUCUACCAGCGUCGUCUCCCCUCCUCCCUCUACUUCCUCCCAGGCACGCCAGCUGCGGGGCUUUCAAACCGCGCCCUCUUCCUGCUUGAGGAGCUCAAGAAAUCAUUUGACAGAACCUGGAGUCAUCUUUGGUUGUCAUGAUGGGAGGAUGCAGGAGGAUGGAAGGAGUUAUGUGAUCUGUACCUGGCGUGAAGAUAACAAGGAUAUUGAUACACAGCACAGCACAGCCCACUCACUGAACAUAUCCCUACCCUCCCCAAGCCAGCAGUAACAAGGUUGAAAAACCCUGAGGUGUAAGUUGUGAAUUAAAAACUGAGCAAGUUGUGACAAAGUACUGGGACAAUGGAAGGAUGAGGUGGUGCCAGAGUCUUUUGGGAAAUCAGGGAAACCUCACAUGGCCCAUCUCCAUACAAGAUUAAACUUCAAGAAAUUUCUGGGACACUUCUAUGUGCUUUGCAACCUUCUGUGACCAGCGAGAGGCCUGGGGGGAGUCAGUACUUUCCUACUGUAUUUAUACCUGGCAUAACUAGCAUGACAUUAACCUAGAGAUUAUUAGGAAUGAGAUAAUAAAUACUAAGCUAUAUAAUCAAAGGUGUGCGGCUGCUCCAAUUAAAAUCUACAGUUGCCUGUGAACCGGAUUCAGGGGCACAGGGUGGUGACUAGAUAAAUGUUCACUCAAUGAAGAAAAGAAUAAAUAGUUUUUAAUUGAAUGAA
This 843-nucleotide long non-coding RNA is filed under the name Mus musculus (house mouse). RNAcentral describes it as "RIKEN cDNA A230103O09 gene, transcript variant 2 (A230103O09Rik)". Lineage: Eukaryota; Metazoa; Chordata; Mammalia; Rodentia; Muridae. The record is from RNAcentral.